AUUGAACGCUGGCGGCAUGCCUUACACAUGCAAGUCGAACGGCGGCACGGGAGCAAUCCUGGUGGCGAGUGGCGAACGGGUGUGUAAAGUAUCGGAACGUGCCCAGUCGUGGGGGAUAACGUAGCGAAAGUUACGCUAAUACCGCAUACGAUCUAUGGAUGAAAGCGGGGGAUCGCAAGACCGCGCGCGAUUGGAGCGGCCGAUAUCAGAUUAGGUAGUUGGUGGGGUAAAGGCUCACCAAGCCGACGAUCUGUAGCUGGUCUGAGAGGACGACCAGCCACACUGGGACUGAGACACGGCCCAGACUCCUACGGGAGGCAGCAGUGGGGAAUUUUGGACAAUGGGCGCAAGCCUGAUCCAGCCAUGCCGCGUGCAGGAUGAAGGCCUUCGGGUUGUAAACUGCUUUUGUACGGAACGAAAAGGUUUGACUUAAUACGUUGGACUCAUGACGGUACCGUAAGAAUAAGCACCGGCUAACUACGUGCCAGCAGCCGCCGUAA
This 500-nucleotide ribosomal RNA is filed under the name uncultured bacterium. RNAcentral's name for it is "partial 16S ribosomal RNA". It matches the Rfam family "Bacterial small subunit ribosomal RNA", at positions 30 to 523 of the family's 1533-position model. The record is from RNAcentral.